GGUAGGGUGACUGAUAAAAGUGGUGGAUUGUAGCUCCAUAUAUAAAGGUUUAAUCCUUUUCCUAUCA
This 67-nucleotide transfer RNA is filed under the name Nothobranchius thierryi (Togo killifish). Its description in RNAcentral is "tRNA-Tyr". It matches the Rfam family "tRNA". From Rfam's summary of the family: Transfer RNA (tRNA) molecules are approximately 80 nucleotides in length. Lineage: Eukaryota; Metazoa; Chordata; Actinopteri; Cyprinodontiformes; Nothobranchiidae. The record is from RNAcentral.